Molecule: long non-coding RNA, 413 nt
Filed under: Eutrema salsugineum
Lineage: Eukaryota; Viridiplantae; Streptophyta; Magnoliopsida; Brassicales; Brassicaceae
Description: long non-coding RNA (ESAL_LNC001709)
Source: RNAcentral
UAAAUUAGGAUUUUAAAGAAGAUAGAGAGAUAGAGAGAAAAAGAGAGAGAGAAUUAAAUCCUUUACGGAUAUGUAACUGAUCAAUAUUCUAUACCAUAAUUCGUCUCUCCGUGUAUCUGAUUUUUUUUAAUUUUGCUGACAAGGGAGUUAAAGCCUUCAUAAGUAGAAUAUAAGAACCAACCAUAAGGAUAGACAAAAAAUACUAGAGCGAUUGUUUACCAAACUCUGAUAGCAUAGUUUCAUGCUCGUACGUGCAGCAAAGAUUAUGAUCAACAAGGAGUAUAGAUUACUUUACAAAUAUUACCUGGUCUUUCAUUCUCUCUGAUAUCUUGCAUAUGACACUAUAGAUUACUUUAGGUUUAGAACUUAUAAUGGUGGAAAACUUGGGUGCAUUUUUGCAGUAAUAAAUCCAC